RNAcentral lists this ribosomal RNA (253 nucleotides) under uncultured bacterium. RNAcentral describes it as "partial 16S ribosomal RNA". It matches the Rfam family "Bacterial small subunit ribosomal RNA", at positions 524 to 776 of the family's 1533-position model. The record is from RNAcentral.
UGCGUAGGGGGCAAGCGUUGUCCGGAUUUAUUGGGCGUAAAGAGCGUGUAGGCGGCCAAGCAGGUCCGCUGUGAAAACUCGAGGCUCAACCUCGAGACGUCGGUGGAAAUCGUUUGGCUAGAGUCCGGAAGAGGAGAGUGGAAUUCCCGGUGUAGCGGUGAAAUGCGCAGAUAUCGGGAAGAACACCCGUGGCGAAGGCGGCUCUCUGGGACGGUACUGACGCUGAGACGCGAAAGCGUGGGGAGCGAACAGG